This 387-nucleotide ribosomal RNA is filed under the name Oenococcus oeni. RNAcentral describes it as "bacterial LSU rRNA". It matches the Rfam family "Bacterial large subunit ribosomal RNA", at positions 2538 to 2925 of the family's 2925-position model. Lineage: Bacteria; Bacillati; Bacillota; Bacilli; Lactobacillales; Lactobacillaceae. The record is from RNAcentral.
CAUCGCAUCCUGGGGCUGUAGUCGGUCCCAAGGGUUGGGCUGUUCGCCCAUUAAAGCGGUACGCGAGCUGGGUUCAGAACGUCGUGAGACAGUUCGGUCCCUAUCCGUCGUGGGCGCAGGAAAUUUGAGAGGAUCUGUCCUUAGUACGAGAGGACCGGGAUGGACAUACCUCUGGUGUACCAGUUGUUCUGCCAAGAGCACCGCUGGGUAGCUACGUAUGGAUUAGAUAAUCGCUGAAAGCAUCUAAGUGAGAAACUAACCUCGAGAUGAGAUUUCCCAUUCGUCAGAAGUAAGACCCCUGAGAGACGAUCAGGUAGAUAGGCUAGAAGUGGAAGUGUAGUGAUGCAUGGAGCGGACUAGUACUAAUAGGUCGAGGACUUAACCAAG